UGUUCUUUAAUAAGGACUAGUAUGAACGGCACCACGAAGACCAUGCUGUCUCCUUUUUCUAAUCAGUGAAACUGAUCUCCCCGUGAAGAAGCGGGGAUUAUUCUAUAAGACGAGAAGACCCUAUGAAGCUUAAAAUUUAUAUCAACUGCCACCCAUAUACCACCUCAACCUGACAGACCUGAUUACCAAUUUUUGGUUGGGGUGACCGCGGAGCAAAAUUAAACCUCCACAAUGAAAGGACCAACCUCCUAAUUCAAGAAUUACACUUCUAAAAAUCAACAUAUUGACAUAAAUUGAUCCAAUUUUUGAUCAAUGAACCAAGUUACUCUAGGGAUAACAGCGCAAUCCAUUUCAAGAGCCCCUAUCGACAAAUGGGUUUACGACCUCGAUGUUGGAUCAGGGUGUCCUAGUGGUGCAACCGCUACUAAAGGUUCGUUUGUUCAACGAUUAAAACCCUACGUGAUCUG
Molecule: ribosomal RNA, 467 nt
Filed under: Arthroleptis xenodactyloides (Chirinda screeching frog)
Lineage: Eukaryota; Metazoa; Chordata; Amphibia; Anura; Arthroleptidae
Description: partial large subunit ribosomal RNA
Rfam family: Bacterial large subunit ribosomal RNA
Source: RNAcentral